RNAcentral lists this transfer RNA (82 nucleotides) under Phlebiopsis gigantea 11061_1 CR5-6. Its description in RNAcentral is "tRNA-Leu (CAA) (tRNA-Leu-CAA-1-1)". It matches the Rfam family "tRNA". Rfam says of the family: Transfer RNA (tRNA) molecules are approximately 80 nucleotides in length. Their secondary structure includes four short double-helical elements and three loops (D, anti-codon, and T loops). The record is from RNAcentral. Lineage: Eukaryota; Fungi; Basidiomycota; Agaricomycetes; Polyporales; Phanerochaetaceae.
GGCAAGAUGGCCGAGCGGUCUAAGGCGCCGGAUUCAAGUCCCGGUCACGAAAGUGGCGCGAGUUCGAAUCUCGCUCUUGUCA